Molecule: long non-coding RNA, 403 nt
Filed under: Gouania willdenowi (blunt-snouted clingfish)
Lineage: Eukaryota; Metazoa; Chordata; Actinopteri; Blenniiformes; Gobiesocidae
Description: lncRNA (ENSGWIG00000015516.1)
Source: RNAcentral
CGACACACAGCACGCGGGCCAGCGCAUCAACAACUUCCUCCAUCGGCUACAAACACCGUCCUUACCUCACCUCACGGUCCUGUAAGGUCACACACACUCCGAGAGAAGCAGUGAGUGUUUAAUAUUGACCUUAAACAGGUGUCAGCCUCGGUCAAGCCUCAUAUGCGGCUUUUAUUCCUACGCCUGACACGGAAAACUGUGCGUGUGACUCCGCCGCAUCCUCCAGCUGCCACAAUGGUUACAUGUCCUGUUUAAUGGUCGAGAGGUGUGGAGUUAAAAGGUCGGAGCAGAAUGCCAUACAAGUUCGCACGCUGGCUGAUGGCAGACUGAACACUGGUCAUGCUGGAGUGUUGCUGGCUGGGAGACGAGGCUCCUACCCGCUGAUUGACCUGCACAUCCUAAG